RNAcentral lists this long non-coding RNA (835 nucleotides) under Triticum aestivum (bread wheat). RNAcentral describes it as "long non-coding RNA (TAES_LNC009536)". The record is from RNAcentral. Lineage: Eukaryota; Viridiplantae; Streptophyta; Magnoliopsida; Poales; Poaceae.
GAUGACCAGUUCUCUCUUCUCUCAACCCCUCUCUAUAUAUUGGUAGCCAAACAUUUCUCAUCGUCAACCAAAGUGAUCGAGUGCCUGCCUAGCUAGUGUUGCAUCGGGUGGGGCAUGGACAAGUACACGAUUCGCAUCCUUGCAAUAGCAGCCCUAGUCUGUCUACAUCUCGUAUGCUCUGCCACCGUUGCUCAAUGUAAGGCAGCUAGCACACCAAUACUUCUGUAUCUGCACAAUGCUUAUUUUUUCUUCACUUAUCCUGGUAUGAAGUACGUAUGUACGUAGUGUAGCUAGUGAAGGCCUUUCUAUUUUGCUUCUUCUCUAAUCUGUCGCGUCCUUUAUUUAUACUACUCUCAAACAAUUUCAUAACAAUGGUUGUUCGUUUGUUAUUAUCCCAUAAAAUGCAGGCCGAAACAUGGCCGAUAAGGAUAGGAAGAAGAUCGCUCUACCAUACGGGCUAUGCGUUCAAGUAGGUCCUGACGAUUGUGGGGACGGUGGUUGCUUCCAUUGUUUGGUAAAUGAUGCCUUCUACCGCAGUAUGGAUGAGUGCAAGAGCAAGUGUAACACAACCUCGUCUACGUCCCCUCCUUCUUUACACGCUCCUUAAAUUUCUAGUCUAACAUAGCCUAGCCAAAUUGGCUUACAUAUGUUGGAGAUUGUCCCAAGAAAAAUGUCUGAUGUGUGAAAAUGCAGUUCUGCAAUAAGAGUAAUAUGUACUCCGGCAGUUAAUUGUUGCUGAGUAUUUUGGUUUGGCAAAUUGCAUUUGAACUUUUACUAGCAAUUGUUGGGAGAGCGACGAAAUGACUUCCAAGCGCAGAUGCUUUAGAAAUUUGAG